UUUUGAAACUCACAAACCAAGAGGAUUGGGGGCACUGUCCAGGGGUAGAAAACCCUGCAGAUAUAGGUUCAAGGGGGAUGUUAGCUUCAAAUUUGGAAGUUAGUAAACUUUGGUGGGAGGGGCCAGAUUGGCUCUCUAAGUCCAAAGAAGAAUGGCCUAAAUUUAAGUGUAAUGUGAAGAGACCUGAAGUGAUAGAAGAAGAAAGAAAACCAGUAGCAAUGUUAGUACAGGUUAACCAGCAAGAUCAUGCAACCAUUGUGAUUGACUUAAACAAGUACAGUACAUCAGAACAGCUUUUUAGAGUGACAGCAUGGGUAUUUAGAUUCAAGUUUAAUUCUCAAGCUAAAGUAAAGAAUGUUGAUAAACGUAGAGGAGAGCUCAGUGUAGAGGAACUAGCUGAAGCAGAAGGAUUUUGGAUUAAGAAAGCUCAGACAAAACUGAAGGAUCAGAAGAAUUAUGAUCAGCUGAGUAAUUCUUUAAGAUUAGUGGAGGAAGAAGGUAUUCUGAGGUGCAAAGGUAGAUUGAAGAAUUCGGAUUUAGAAUUGAGUGCCAGAUACCCAAUCAUCUUGCCAAAGGAUCACAGAUUAACAGAGUUAUUGGUUCGAAAAUCACACAGUGACGUACAUCAUUGUGGUGUACGAGCGACUUUAUGUAGACUACGAUCAAAGUACUGGGUAGUGAAAGGACGACAACUGGUUAAGCGAAUUGUAGGCAAGUGCGUUACCUGCAAGAGACUAGAAGGGAAAUCAUACAGUGAAGCACCAGUAUCAGAUUUACCGGGGUUUAGAGUCAGACAGGCAGCACCAUUCUCUAAAGUGGGAAUUGAUUUCGCUGGUCCACUUUUUGUAAAGGUUUGUGCAGAUUGUUCCAACAAAGUGUAUGUAGCAUUGUUCUCAUGCUGUGUGACACGUGCAAUACAUUUAGAGUUAGUACGAGAUUUGUCAGCCGACACGUUUUUACGUUCUUUAAGAAGGUUUGCCGCUAGAAGAGGAACGCCUAAUUUGAUAGUAUCAGACAAUGCAAAGACAUUUAAGGCAUCAGAGAAAGCUCUUAGGAAACUAUAUAGUCAGCAAAAGGUUAAGUCCGAGCUACAGACGAAGCGAAUAACCUGGAGGUUCAACUUAGAGAGGGCACCCUGGUGGGGUGGAGUUUUUGAGAGGAUGGUACGAAGCGUGAAAAAGUGUCUUAGGAAGACUUUAGGGAAUGCUAGGUUAACGUUCGACGAACUUAAUACAGUUUUAGUUGAAGUUGAAGGUACAUUAAAUGCAAGACCGUUGACUGAUGAAUACGAAGAAUUUGAUGGUGAAGUCUUAACUCCUUCACACUUAAUGUAUGGUAGAGCAAUUAAUAUUAUGCCACAGAACGAAGUUACUAAAGACGAGAAUAGUUGUGAGGAGAGAUUUAAGUAUGUGUCGUUAAAGUUAGAGCACUUCUGGAAGAGGUGGCAAAAGGAGUAUCUAACAGGGUUGAGAGAGUUCCAUAAAUGCAAAAACGGAGAUAGACUGAGAGAAGUAAAGAAGGGAGACGUAGUGACAGUGUACGGAGAAGGAGGAAAGAGAUGUGGUUGGAAGUUAGCAGUUGUAGAAGAGUUAAUUGUAGGUAAGGACAAGGAGGUCCGAGGGGCCAAAGUAAAGGUUGCAGGCAAGGGUAGACCAGUCUAUUUGAAUAGGCCUAUACAGAAGUUAUUCCCAUUGGAGGUUCAAGCUCGACCGGGUGGGAAUGGGCAGGGAAAGGAUUCCCCCAUAGCUAAGGCAGACGGGUCCUUGCAUGUCUUGCAUGAUCGUCCGAGACGCUUGAUUCAUAGACCUUUAUGAAUCAAGGUGGGUGGGGUGUCGUAGGUUCCCAGCGCAGUGCCGCCAAUUCAUUCAACUUUAAAUAUACUUCAUGUAAUAUAUCAGUAUUGUGCUUGACGUAAUUCAUGUUAAAUCGUAAAUAAGUCUUUGUAUGUGUAAAUUGAUACGUCACAGUGACACAUUGUAAUUUGGUAGGGUAAUCAAAUAGCUAGGGAGUGAUUGAAUGUCAUUGUUGCCGUCAGAUCGUAGCGAGACAAUCGGAAUGUUUAACAGUCUAAAACUCACGUUGUAAAUAGUAUACUUUCACAUAUUACAAUCAAUACAAUUAUAAAAUACAGUCCCUUGAGCGUUUACUGAAUGAACCAGACGGUGGAAUCACAAGUUCCGCAACAGUAAUCAGGAUUCGACAAAAUUCUCAGAGCUUCUAGAAAUGAUUGUUUAUCCUUGUCCUUUGGUUCUUCAGCAGUUCCGUCGUCGCUUGACUCGCUGUCGGUUUCUGGCCUUCGUAGUCUUCGGUUUCAGUUUCAGAACCGGAGUCUAAAUCAGAAUCUUUCUCUUCUUCUUUCGGUCUUCAUCAAAAAUCACUGAACACUUC
Molecule: long non-coding RNA, 2388 nt
Filed under: Paramuricea clavata
Lineage: Eukaryota; Metazoa; Cnidaria; Anthozoa; Malacalcyonacea; Plexauridae
Source: RNAcentral